This 1082-nucleotide long non-coding RNA is filed under the name Homo sapiens (human). RNAcentral describes it as "HSALNT0203147". Lineage: Eukaryota; Metazoa; Chordata; Mammalia; Primates; Hominidae. The record is from RNAcentral.
AAGGUGCUCAGUGGGGGAGUUUCUGAGCCAGGAGAAGGAAAUUCGCAGGGUUAAUCAUUCAGUUAAGGUGGGGCAGGAACAAAUCACAAUGGUGGAAUGUCAUCAGUUAAGGCGGGGCAGGGCAUAUUCACUUCUUUUGUGAUUCUUCAGUUACUUCAGGCCAUCUGGGCGUAUACGUGCAAGUCACAGGGGAUGCGAUGGCUUGGCUUGGGCUCAGAGGCCUGACAUUAUUUAACAUUGUAUGAAUGCCUUGCCAGCUAAGAAGGUAUGGGCAAAGCUGUACCCCAAGGGCCAUUGAUCCUACUUAGAACAACGUGAAAAUGUCUCUCUAACCUACUACUGUAAGAAUGGGUUAUCUGGUAACAAUGCCUGCUCAGGCACCACUUGUGCAACUAGAAUCAAUACCACUGUCAUACACAAUUGUGAUAAGUUGUUUCCUAAGCACCCUCACUGUGUUCAUGUGGUUGGUUGUGUCUACUUGGGUUCAUAUGUUUCUAUUUCAACAACACUUGAGUGGUGUUCUUUCAUUGGAUCUUUGAAAAUUAGCUGUUUAAGUGAGACUAACCAAACCAUUUACUAGAAAGUUAAACAAUGUAUUCUACAUGUUGGUAAUUUCAAUAUAUACAGCAAUCCUUAUUUUUACUUAACCAUUAUUUCCAAUAGGACUCCAAAUCUUGUGUGGUUAGAGUCAAUAUUUCAAUACUAACACUGGUUAUCUGUUUUGUGUCAUUCUAUUCUCUUGUUCUCACCGGUUAUCUUCUAAUGAAAUAAAAAGAACUUCAGAAGUGGACUGCCUGCAGGGCUUUAUUUGACACCUUCUGCAUUCACUAAAUCCAAAGUAUAUUGUCUACCAACCAAGAAUGUUUUCCCUGCAACUGAGCAAAAGAGCAGACACAUGAAUGAGGUGUCACUAGCCAGAGUACAACAUCUCUCUGGCCACAGCGAUUUGUUUGAGGAUAGCAUGUGAUGCAGCAAGGUCGGUAUAAGCUCUCCUUGUAAUUUUUGUUGGUACUAUUUGAAAACAGUGAAUGAUUUGAGAAUGAAUGACAAUGUAGGUCUCUACUGGCUGAAAAUUAUCUUUG